UAGAAAGAAAGAACGAAUGGGCCGACGCCACAGGUCUCUGUCCUUGCUGCUGCUACAGGAGGGUCUUUCUUGCAGCACAACUGCGUUCCCCUCGACGACGCGCCGAGCUCCGGCGAGCGGAAGGCGGACGCAGGAGGUUGCUUCUGCCUUAUCGCGAGCUAACAGGCCCAAGUAGGCGGCGGCAAGAAUCUCCUGGGACGGCAGAGCUUCGUAGGCAGACAGCGCGGGGCAGAGGAGAGGAGCACCAAGGUCAGGCGCCUGCCGUCGGAGGCGAUGGCGAGGCUCCGAUCCAUGAGGCAGCUGCUCUUGAUUGCAACAUCUGCUAGUUCCUUGCUGGAUGAAUGAUCUCAUCAUCCAAGCCCCUUCUUUAUCUGCAUUUCGGUUGGGGAUCAAUACAUCUCCUCAGCGACACCGACAGGCAUCUGCCAAGCGUCGCAAUGAGUAAUAUCAGAGCAUCAUCAACCAAAUGUUCCUCGAGAAAAACUCGUAUCAGCCAACAGGUCAUACUUAAGCAUAAAUGUAUCAAAGUACAAGGCUAAAAAAUGAGCUGGCUUCUGAAA
This is a long non-coding RNA of Phragmites australis (common reed), 560 nucleotides long. RefSeq lists it as uncharacterized. The record is from RefSeq and is a predicted model, not a curated record. Lineage: Eukaryota; Viridiplantae; Streptophyta; Magnoliopsida; Poales; Poaceae. The transcript has 2 exons.